AGAGUUUGAUCCUGGCUCAGGACGAACGCUGGCGGCGUGCCUAAUACAUGCAAAGUAGAACCGCUGAAGACUUUAGCUUGCUAGAGUUGGAAGAGUUGCGUAACGGGUGAGUAACGCGUAGGUAACCUGCCUACUAGCGGGGGAUAACUAUUGGAAACGAUAGCUAAUACCGCAUAACAGUGUUUAACACAUGUUAGAUGCUUGAAAGAUGCAAUUGCAUCACUAGUAGAUGGACCUGCGUUGUAUUAGCUAGUUGGUGGGGUAACGGCCUACCAAGGCGACGAUACAUAGCCGACCUGAGAGGGUGAUCGGCCACACUGGGACUGAGACACGGCCCAGACUCUACGGGAGGCAGCAGUAGGGAAUCUUCGGCAAUGGGGGCAACCCUGACCGAGCAACGCCGCGUGAGUGAAGAAGGUUUUCGGAUCGUAAAGCUCUGUUGUAAGAGAAGAACGUGUGUGAGAGUGGAAAGUUCACACAGUGACGGUAACUUACCAGAAAGGGACGGCUAACUACGUGCCAGCAGCCGCGGUAAU
RNAcentral lists this ribosomal RNA (536 nucleotides) under Streptococcus sp. W28. Its description in RNAcentral is "bacterial SSU rRNA". It matches the Rfam family "Bacterial small subunit ribosomal RNA", at positions 8 to 524 of the family's 1533-position model. Lineage: Bacteria; Bacillati; Bacillota; Bacilli; Lactobacillales; Streptococcaceae. The record is from RNAcentral.